Cyprinus carpio (common carp) is the source of this 561-nucleotide long non-coding RNA. RefSeq lists it as uncharacterized. The record is from RefSeq and is a predicted model, not a curated record. NCBI's taxonomy places the organism in Eukaryota, Metazoa, Chordata, Actinopteri, Cypriniformes, Cyprinidae. The transcript has 2 exons.
AACUGAGAGAAAACAACAAGCGGAAAAGUUCAGUUAGGAGUCAGUAUGCAUUCUUAGUAAAUACACUCUAAAUAACUGUUGGGUGGAGUCUGUUGGGUCAUAUGCUGAGUAGUUUUUGUGUGUUGGUAGCUGGGUCAAUCUAGCUGAAACUACUCUCCUCCCCUCCCUUUCCCUCCGACGAAACAACCCACUGCGGGGUUACUUUAACUGCUGUUUGGGUUACAGUCAGAGCGGGGGAUUUCUGCAUCCUCUUCAGGAGAGAGCGGUUCUCUGCGCCGCUGGACUGAUGCACUUCUUCAGUGAAAUAAAGGUUAUGGAGUCAGUCACAGCGUCUUUCAGUGAAACGAGGUUCACAGUUCCCCCGCCGAACUGCAGCCCAUCACCGGCUCAGAUUUUGGUGACACACCGGCACGAGAAUCAAAACUAUUUUGGUUAAAAGUGAAAACAGAGAACGGUUGAAUGAUUUUUUUAUUAUUAUUAUUUCUAAAAUGCUUGUUAAAUGAGUGUAUGUAAUAUUGUUAACUAUGCUUUAUUCACCCAAAUAAAUUCAAUUUGUCUUUU